AUGCAGCAGCACAUUCUGGUGAGGGGCAAAGCAAACAAGCUGCUGAGGCAGACUGACAGGAUGAGAAAUGGAGAACAAGGAGCAGAGCCUAGCGAGGGAACCCGACACCCUAUGCGCUGGCCAGGGAACUUGCCUCUCUUCUCUUCGCUCUGUCGCAGCACGCUCGGCACCUCCAGGGCUCAGGUACCAAGUUUUCCAAGUCACGUUGUGCCAGGAGCUGAACUGAGGAGCAGUCACAUGCAUGAUGGCACAGAAGAAAACACAAUGCAGAAGCAGCACACCUGUGGAGUCUGGUUUCUACCUCUCCCCAGAGAGGAGUGCUCAUGUUUUGGGGCUCAGAGGGAGCACAGCUUCUUUGAAUGCAGCUGCAGAUCAAACCAGUAAGGGUGGCAUCCUUCAGGUACACCCUCAGGGUUGGUUUUGCAGACAGCUUUCACACCUGCUGCCUCUUCUGGUUUGUUAGGAAAGAAGCAAGAAUUGGACAUGGCCCCUUGGCACCAGCAGUCAUACAAAUAGCCAGACAGACUUAGCUGUGGGACUGCAUGCCCUCUUCGCUGAGCCAGCAGAAGGCAUCAGCAGGCCUGCUAACACUCUUCCUAACAUGACCUUCACUCUGGCCUGCUUCGAACACAGUGACCUUGAGCCCUUCCAGCUGUACUUAGAGAGGUUAAUAUUCAUCUCCUGCAGGGCAGUUGCUGAGUGACUCCCACAACAUGCCACGCUGUGAAAGUUCAGGUCAGGGCAGCUCUGACCCCAUCACCAGCCACCCAAAGGACAGCCAGCAGAAGAGGACCAAACCUCCCAUCACCAUGCUGGUGGCAGACCUUGAGAUGUUAGAGCUGGGGGCUUGAGGAGCUGCAGACAUAUACAAGCACUUUGGAGGUGCUUGUAUAUGUCUGUGCUGGCCCUUGAGAGGUCUCUUCUCCUUUGCCCAAAGAGAACGAGGUUGAUGCCGCCUCAGCUCGGACACAAAUAUCCCCCAGCCCAGGGAGCAGGGACACAGCACCCUGAUGAAGGAGAUGUCCCAAAGGUCCCUAGACACAACACACCUGGUUCACGGUGAUGCCACUCAGCUGACAGCUUGCCUGGCUGCUCUCCCAGGAGGCACAGAGGGAGCUUGUUACUGUCACAGGCAUGGUGGUAAAGCUAAGGCAGGGUUUUGCUGCAGAGAGAGGGAGAGGGUCACCUGCUGGGUCGUGUUUCAGCAUCACACCCUGUUUUAUUCUCUUUUUCCCUUUCUCUGCAGCACACCCCUGGUACAAAGGAUUUGACACCGGGCGAUUAUCUGAAACCGGAGACACAAGGUGUUGGUGCAUCUCUGGUUACAGAUAUUAUACUGAAGCCUUUGCUCUUCCUGCUCAUGAGCAUGUUACCCUGUGGGUUUUUGUUUGUUUGUUUGUUUUGUUUCCCUAUGUAAUUAAUGCAGUGAAGCAAAAACACUGUCCAUAUAACUGUAAGGAUGUCAGGUGACCAGAUAUAACUACUCAUUUUUAAGGUGACAGAUAGACGGAUAUCUGAGGUAGUCUUCAUUUUUGAAUAUUCAUGUUUUGAAAAUGACAGCUACACUCAUCUACUUGGGGUGUCUGUGGUUGUUGGCUAUCGUCAAUUUCUGGACCCGAGGCUUCCCUGAGGUCAAAGUAGAAAUAUUCAGCAACUGCCUGAGCUACACAGAUGUUGUGCAUCCCCUUGACAGUGUUUACUAUUUGCAGGAUUAUUUUAAAUAAAUAACACUUUCAAUCUGAGAGUUUGUCGUCUCCAUCAAGAUGGCCUCAUACAGCAGUAAAGAGAAGAAGAAGAAAAAAAAGAAAGGAAUAGAGAUACAAGUAGGCAAGAAAGGAAGAGAGGGAGAUAGGGAGCCAACUAAGCUGCGUGCUAUCCCAUAGUUUAUUAACAUUUGAUUAGCAUAAUGAAUAUUCAGCCCCAUUAUUAUCUUAUUGUUCCUCUUUGCAUAGUAUGUUAAGUAUGAAAAGUUUCUUCUGUGGGUUUUUUCAUUGCAAAUUUUGCCCCUGGAGAAUGAGUUCUCCUUAUCAAAAGAGUCUUAAGACUAAGGAUUAGGCAGAAAAAAACAAAGGAAAAGGAAAAUAUGUUGCAAGGAACAUGUCUCAUGUCUCGUAAAAUCCAAAGCCAAAUGAUUUCUAUCAUGCAUCUAAGACUUACAAGAGAUUGUUGACCAGGAUACAGUUUUAAAAUGUGUGCGCUCUGUGCCUGUUGUUAUCUUUAUAUGGCAGUAGCGUUACAUUUCAAUGCGCCAGUAUCUAACCCGCUGGUUAAAUUUGUUUUGAAGAUUGUUUAAGAGGCGAUUGUCAAACUGAAACAGCAUCAGCUUGGCACCGGGCCAACAUCUGUGGCUGAAAUGCAGAUCAGCACGGGAGCAGGAGCCCGUCGUUGCCAGCUCCUGAUCUGCCCCUGAGGCAGAGCUGGAAGAAGAUGCGGGGAAUUGCUCCUGAAGGCUCCUGGCUCCCAGGAUGGCCCAGAGACACCUCGGGGCGGCCGGGUGGGCUCUGCCCGGGUGCUGCCUGAGGGAGGCCCCUGGCACAGCCUCCCCACAGCCAGGCCCAGCCGUUGCUCAAUAAAUCAUUCUGGCUGCAGAAGAGAGGCCGGGGGGAAGGAAGAGGAACCACGAGUGUUGAUUUGUUUUUCUUUAAAGCCCAGGCUCAGGGCAGCCAUGGCCCCACCUCGCAACUUUCAGCCCAGGGAAGGCCGUGCACCCAUCAGACCCUCGGUACCGGCUCCUCCAGAGGGGCAUGAGGACCCAUGAGGGUGGUGUAGGUGUGUGGCUGAGGUGUGGGGAAGCGGAGGCUGGGGCUCUGCGCUGGGAAAGUCUCUGGGCAGUUUUCUCUUCAGAUCAAUGAACGCGCUCGGAAAAAGGAGCAGAGGAGCUCGCCAGCAUGGCUGGAGGGGGCCGCGGGGGCAGGCGGCCAAGGCAAACAAGGAAGCCACCUGAUGUGACCGGGGUCAGAUAAGAGAGUCGUCACUUCGGGAGCAGGUGCUUCCUGCACUGCGCGCUUGCCCAGCCCUAGCCCCGCCGCCUGCGAGGCAGCCUGUGGCCGACAGCUCCCUGAGGCAGCCGCCUGGUGUCCUGGUCCUGGGUCGGGGCUCUCCAGGUCUUGUGCCCACCUGGUGAAUCCAGGAGGAGCAACGCCUCUCCUCAGCCCCACAGCUAGCACUGGUCUCAGGGCUCCUCCGUGCUGCUGGCUGCGAGCACUUGCUUUGAUCUGAGCACCCACAAAUGAUUAAAGGGAUUGUGCUGAAUGGAUAAUGGAGGACUGCUGUGGUGGGGAGCAAUGGAGACUGUUGGCUGGGGACACUGGCCACUCUAAGCUUGAAGUGAGCUUUGUAAGAUGCUGAGCUGGGCUGGGAGACUCCAGGCUUUGUUUUAGUCCCUUCAGGGUCCAGAUAAAACCAAACAAGGCCUUCAGGAGCUGAUUUCCCUCAUCUUUAUGCUGCUGAAGCCCAGACCCUAAUGCAGGAAAGAACCAUGCCAGGAGGUGCCUGAGAGAGACCCAGGAGUGUGGUAUGGCUGUAAUAGCACCCCAGAGCCAGACUCACCACCUGGGACAGCCCAUGGCUCCCCCUGCCCAAAGCAGGACCUCCACAGCAAGCAAGAGGCUCCAAAACAGGGUUACAUGGUGCACAGUUUCUUGACAGUAGCCUCCUCUGUAUACAGCGAUAGAUCAUAUUAAUGGAGAGGGAUUAGGUCAGCACUUCUUUUAGGAUCCAUGUGUAUAUAGGAGUAUAUAUCAUAUUAAUGAGGAGGGAUGAGGUCAGCACUUCUUUUAGGAUCCAUCUGUUGGCUGUUCUUCAGCAAUUCUGCUCUUUGCUCACUGCCGUCUCUUUUUUUCCUCCUGGCAAGCCACAUUUACUGGAGAACAUGGCUCUCCCUAUCUCUUCAAAUGCACUGACAUGUUUCCAGACCUGCCAGAAGAUGAAAGGAGGGCUUAAAUAGGAAACCCAGAGGGUGUCUUCCCCUUUCUUGUGUGCAGCCAAGACAUGAACACCAAAGUUCAGGCGGGAAGCUGGGGCCAUCUACAGCUGAUAGAAAAUGUAUUGGAGAAAGGAACCUAUUUGGGAGCAUACACAGUACAACUUGCCCAGGACAUAGGUAUGUGAUGUUGUCCUCAAAG
This 4124-nucleotide long non-coding RNA is filed under the name Cairina moschata (Muscovy duck). RNAcentral's name for it is "domestica (muscovy Duck (domestic type)) lncRNA (ENSCMMG00000003808.1)". The record is from RNAcentral. Lineage: Eukaryota; Metazoa; Chordata; Aves; Anseriformes; Anatidae.